RNAcentral lists this ribosomal RNA (397 nucleotides) under uncultured bacterium. Its description in RNAcentral is "partial 16S ribosomal RNA". It matches the Rfam family "Bacterial small subunit ribosomal RNA", at positions 523 to 918 of the family's 1533-position model. The record is from RNAcentral.
AUACGUAGGUGACAAGCGUUAUCCGGAUUUACUGGGCGUAAAGGGCGUGUAGGCGGUCUUGCAAGUCAGAAGUGGAAUUCCUGAGCUCAACUCGGGCGCUGCUUCUGAAACUGCAGGACUUGAGUGCUGGAGGGGAUAGCGGAAUUCCUAGUGGAGCGGUAAAAUGCGCAGAUAUUAGGAAGAACACCGGUGGCGAAGGCGGCUAUCUGGACAGUAACUGACGCUGAGGCGCGAAAGCGUGGGGAGCAAACAGGAAUAGAUACCCGGGUAGUCCACGCCGUAAACGAUGAAUACUAGGUGUAGGGGGUAUCGACUCCCUCUGUGCCGCAGUUAACACAAUAAGUAUUCCGCCUGGGGAGUACGGCCGCAAGGUUGAAACUCAAAGGAAUUGACGGGG